GACGAACGCUGGCGGCGUGCUUAACACAUGCAAGUCGAACGGAAAGGCCCUGCUUUUGUGGGGUGCUCGAGUGGCGAACGGGUGAGUAACACGUGAGUAACCUGCCCUUGACUUUGGGAUAACUUCAGGAAACUGGGGCUAAUACCGGAUAGGAGCUCCUGCUGCAUGGUGGGGGUUGGAAAGUUUCGGCGGUUGGGGAUGGACUCGCGGCUUAUCAGCUUGUUGGUGGGGUAGUGGCUUACCAAGCCUUUGACGGGUAGCCGGCCUGAGAGGGUGACCGGCCACAUUGGGACUGAGAGACGGCCCAGAAUCCUACGGGAGGCAGCAGUGGGGAAUAUUGCACAAUGGGCGGAAGCCUGAUGCAGCAACGCCGCGUGCGGGAUGACGGCCUUCGGGUUGUAAACCGCUUUCGCCUGUGACGAAGCGUGAGUGACGGUAAUGGGUAAAGAAGCACCGGCUAACUACGUG
This 468-nucleotide ribosomal RNA is filed under the name uncultured bacterium. Its description in RNAcentral is "partial 16S ribosomal RNA". It matches the Rfam family "Bacterial small subunit ribosomal RNA", at positions 28 to 507 of the family's 1533-position model. The record is from RNAcentral.